AUGGGAGAGGAAAGUCCGGACAACGCAGGGCGCCGUACUUCUCGAAAGGAAGGCUUGCUUCGGCAUGACAGAAAGUGCUGCAGAAAUUUAUACCGCCGAUGAUGGUUCCUUGAGCCAAACAGGUAAGGGUGAAAAGGCGAGGUAAGAGCUCACCAGCGACGAAGUGAUUUGUCGGCUUUGGUAAACCUUGCGGGUUGCAAGAUCGCAUAGUCUGGCAUUUGAGGAUGGCCCGUCCAAGUCAGUGGGUUGAUUGCAUAGAUAAAUGAUGAAGCGUCCCUUGGGAUGAACAGAAUCCGGCUUAUCAUUCUA
This 309-nucleotide RNase P RNA is filed under the name marine eukaryotic metagenome. RNAcentral describes it as "Bacterial RNase P class A". It matches the Rfam family "Bacterial RNase P class A", at positions 37 to 357 of the family's 367-position model. From Rfam's summary of the family: Ribonuclease P (RNase P) is a ubiquitous endoribonuclease, found in archaea, bacteria and eukarya as well as chloroplasts and mitochondria. Its best characterised activity is the generation of mature 5'-ends of tRNAs by cleaving the 5'-leader elements of precursor-tRNAs. The record is from RNAcentral.